Long non-coding RNA from Mustela erminea (ermine), 1882 nucleotides. RefSeq lists it as uncharacterized. The record is from RefSeq and is a predicted model, not a curated record. The transcript is spliced from 5 exons. NCBI's taxonomy places the organism in Eukaryota, Metazoa, Chordata, Mammalia, Carnivora, Mustelidae.
GAGGCGCGACGCCUGGCUUGGAGGGGUCGCCGAGCUGGGUGGGAGCGCAGGGCCCACCGCGGACGGCCCGCACGAGCGGAUAGACCGCGGAGCGCCCCGGGCGAGGCGUUCGGCGUGGAUUGGGUAGGAGCGACGGGCCUGAAGCUGAGGAGCUACGCCGAGGCCGCCACAUCCUCGACCCUUGCCCUAGACGGAGCGGAGGCCUCACGGGAUAAAUGGGGCGCGCACAGGCGUUUAAGGCCCCGGCUCCUUCUCUAGAGCCGAGAUCUGAGCUCAGCACAUAGAUGCUACUCAGGAACCUUUCCCAAAAUGUUAGAAGAGGGAUAGAAAAACAUUUGCAACUUUUGUUUCACUUGGUGAACGAGUCAGGAACUGUUUGUGCACAAUAAUCCAACAUCAGUUUAAGAUUUUUGGCUGUGUUUUCUCAAGAGCAAGAAAAGAUUUUGCUUCCAAUUCCUGCACAUUAUUUUUUUAUUGGUUGGAUUUCCUAUUCAGCACCACUUUACUUUCAUUAUUUUGGUUAUUAAUCUGUUCAUUUUGGAAGAUAUAAUUGCAUCAUUUCCAUAACCAGGAGAAUUGCUGUCUGCUCCUCAGCUCUAUCAUUAAUGAAGAUCUUUGUCUGUUGGGUUUCCUUAGUACAGAGUUCUGGAAAGAUGGAUAUUAGAAAAGUGAGAAGACAAAGAAAAAUUGCGUGGAAGAUACUGUUGCUGAGUGGGAAGAAUGAGAUUGGUGGAUAGCUAGAGCAGUCCAUCGCUGUCAUCAUUACCAUCAUCAUCAUCAUCAGAAGCAUGGUCUAACCACACCUAGAGCUUCUGUUGAACUGGAAUUAAAAUCACUUGAAUUGCUACCCAUUCUUUAUCUCAACUGGUUCUUCAUUAUCUCAUUUUGUCGAAGAUUGCUGUCUUCAAUGAAAGUAUAUGAUACAUUUGCUAUAUAACAUUUUAAUGUUUCUUGUUUGGUGCCUGAAGAAAUUUUGCUAUGUGAAAAGCCACUAUCACCCUUCUCCGUAGCAUUCUCCUCCAAGAGCCAUCAAAUAAGAAAACCAAUUACAGUAAUUUUCUACCACACAUAGAGGUGAGAGUUCCACCAAUCUGAAACUAAGUUAGCUAUUCCAAACAACAGGAUGCAUUAUUGUAGAGUAAAUAAAAAGUGAUUGAAGUCUUUACCCUUAAUUAGAAUAAAACUCAUUUAAAAGACAAAAUGCUUAGGGAAUAUAGUCAAUAAUAUUUUAGUAACUUUGUAUGGUGACAGAUGGUAACUAGGCUUAUUAUAGGGAUCAUUUCAUGAUGUAUAAAAAUAUCCAAUCACUAUGACGUACACUUGAAACUUAUAAGAUAUUGUGUGCCAAUCAUAUUUCCAUUGGGGAAAAAAAAGGAUUUGAUUCAUUUUCUCUCUGAGUCACAUUAAAUUUUUAGUGAUGUGCAUGUACCUCUGGGCAGACAGGUUCUGUUUCGAUUCUCAAGUAAAAAAGCCAAAUAAAAUGUCUUAAGACGUUCUUGGAACAGUUAGAAGCAUGAAGUGCCAAAAUAUUUCAUGAGAAAUAGACAACCUGUUUUCUCAAGAUUUCUAGUCCAACUAAAGAAAUUCAAGAAAGAGGAGAUUCUUAACUCCUAACAUUAUCUUUAAAGAGUUUGUGAAAGAGAAAAUAAAGACCAGAAGUUAAGUAACAGAGAGCAGAGUGGUAAAAUGUUGCCACCUGCUUCUUUGCUUGAGAGAAGAGAAAGAUGAAGUGUGUACAUGUGGGCAUGCGUGCUGGAGCACAGAUAGAAAGUACAAGACUUCAAGGGCUCAGGGUCAAAAUAAUGAGUGUACAAGCUGGUUUGCUUUCAAUUUUUAAUUUGUUUCCACUUCUUAAAAUGGCAUAAUGGGGGGGGGGGCGCGG